This 685-nucleotide ribosomal RNA is filed under the name Campylobacter jejuni. Its description in RNAcentral is "bacterial SSU rRNA". It matches the Rfam family "Bacterial small subunit ribosomal RNA", at positions 850 to 1533 of the family's 1533-position model. Lineage: Bacteria; Pseudomonadati; Campylobacterota; Epsilonproteobacteria; Campylobacterales; Campylobacteraceae. The record is from RNAcentral.
AGCUAACGCAUUAAGUGUACCGCCUGGGGAGUACGGUCGCAAGAUUAAAACUCAAAGGAAUAGACGGGGACCCGCACAAGCGGUGGAGCAUGUGGUUUAAUUCGAAGAUACGCGAAGAACCUUACCUGGACUUGAUAUCCUAAGAACCUUUUAGAGAUAAGAGGGUGCUAGCUUGCUAGAACUUAGAGACAGGUGCUGCACGGCUGUCGUCAGCUCGUGUCGUGAGAUGUUGGGUUAAGUCCCGCAACGAGCGCAACCCACGUAUUUAGUUGCUAACGGUUCGGCCGAGCACUCUAAAUAGACUGCCUUCGUAAGGAGGAGGAAGGUGUGGACGACGUCAAGUCAUCAUGGCCCUUAUGCCCAGGGCGACACACGUGCUACAAUGGCAUAUACAAUGAGACGCAAUACCGCGAGGUGGAGCAAAUCUAUAAAAUAUGUCCCAGUUCGGAUUGUUCUCUGCAACUCGAGAGCAUGAAGCCGGAAUCGCUAGUAAUCGUAGAUCAGCCAUGCUACGGUGAAUACGUUCCCGGGUCUUGUACUCACCGCCCGUCACACCAUGGGAGUUGAUUUCACUCGAAGCCGGAAUACUAAACUAGUUACCGUCCACAGUGGAAUCAGCGACUGGGGUGAAGUCGUAACAAGGUAACCGUAGGAGAACCUGCGGUUGGAUCACCUCCUUUCUAGA